GAUGAACGCUGGCGGCGUGCUUAACACAUGCAAGUCGAACGGAAACGUAUUGAAACCUAGUGAUAUACGUUUUAGUGGCGGACGGGUGAGUAACGCGUGGGUAACCUGCCGUAUUCUGGGGGACAACAGUUGGAAACGACUGCUAAUACCGCAUAAGACCACAGAGCCGCAUGGCUCAGGGGUAAAAACUCCGGUGGAAUACGAUGGACCCGCGUCUGAUUAGCUAGUUGGUGAGGUAACGGCCCACCAAGGCGACGAUCAGUAGCCGGCCUGAGAGGGUGAACGGCCACAUUGGGACUGAGACACGGCCCAAACUCCUACGGGAGGCAGCAGUGGGGAAUAUUGCACAAUGGGCGAAAGCCUGAUGCAGCGACGCCGCGUGAGUGAAGAAGUAUUUCGGUAUGUAAAGCUCUAUCAGCAGGAAGAAAAUGACGUAC
RNAcentral lists this ribosomal RNA (437 nucleotides) under bacterium FC2003. RNAcentral's name for it is "bacterial SSU rRNA". It matches the Rfam family "Bacterial small subunit ribosomal RNA", at positions 28 to 458 of the family's 1533-position model. The record is from RNAcentral.